This 83-nucleotide transfer RNA is filed under the name Burkholderiales bacterium. RNAcentral describes it as "tRNA-Tyr". It matches the Rfam family "tRNA". From Rfam's summary of the family: Transfer RNA (tRNA) molecules are approximately 80 nucleotides in length. Their secondary structure includes four short double-helical elements and three loops (D, anti-codon, and T loops). Further hydrogen bonds mediate the characteristic L-shaped molecular structure. tRNAs have two regions of fundamental functional importance: the anti-codon, which is responsible for specific mRNA codon recognition, and the 3' end, to which the tRNAs corresponding amino acid is attached (by aminoacyl-tRNA synthetases). tRNAs cope with the degeneracy of the genetic code in two manners: having more than one tRNA (with a specific anti-codon) for a particular amino acid; and 'wobble' base-pairing, i.e. permitting non-standard base-pairing at the 3rd anti-codon position. Lineage: Bacteria; Pseudomonadati; Pseudomonadota; Betaproteobacteria; Burkholderiales. RNAcentral also lists the same sequence under 1 other name. The record is from RNAcentral.
GGGAGUGUACCGAAGUGGACAAACGGGGCAGACUGUAAAUCUGCUGGCUUAUGCCUUCGAAGGUUCGAAUCCUUCCGCUCCCA